AUGAGAUGUCUUUUGGCAUCAGCUGUUAUGUUUGAGAAUGUGAUGUGUACUGUGAGACACUGAUAACGGGUGGCGUCUAGUGAACGUGUAUGAGUAUGAGUCUAAAUGUAUGAGAGUGUGAGGUGAAUAAGAAAUGAGAAGGGAAGAACGUGAAUGAGAAAGUGGAUAAGAAUGAGAUUGAGAAUAAGAAAGUGAAUGUGUCAAUGAACCUGCUUGAUGUCCUGUUUGGACCACCAAGAACGGGUGGGCGUCUAGAGUCUAAGAUAUGUAAAACAUGGGG
Molecule: long non-coding RNA, 280 nt
Filed under: Brassica napus (rape)
Lineage: Eukaryota; Viridiplantae; Streptophyta; Magnoliopsida; Brassicales; Brassicaceae
Description: long non-coding RNA (BNAP_LNC014773)
Source: RNAcentral